UAGGGAAUAUUGCACAAUGAGCGAAAGCUUGAUGCAGCAACGCCGCGUGCGCGAUGACGGCCUUCGGGUUGUAAAGCGCUUUUCGGGGAGAUGAGGAAGGACAGUAUCCCCGGAAUAAGUCUCGGCUAACUACGUGCCAGCAGCCGCGGUAACACGUAGGAGGCAAGCGUUAUCCGAAUUCACUGGGCGUAAAGCGCGUGCAGGCGGUUCGGUAAGUUGGAUGUGAAAUCUCCCGGCUCAACUGGGAGGGGACGUUCAAUACUGUCGGACUUGAGGACGAUAGAGGGAGGUGGAAUUCCCGGUGUAGUGGUGAAAUGCGUAGAUAUCGGGAGGAACACCAGUGGCGAAAGCGGCCUCCUGGAUCGUUCCUGACGCUCAAACGCGAAAGCUAGGGGAGCGAACGG
This 404-nucleotide ribosomal RNA is filed under the name uncultured bacterium. RNAcentral describes it as "bacterial SSU rRNA". It matches the Rfam family "Bacterial small subunit ribosomal RNA", at positions 355 to 775 of the family's 1533-position model. The record is from RNAcentral.